UUUCUUUUUUCGUCUGCUUAUCAAACAUGUGCUCUGACAUGUUGAAAGGUUCUUGUGCAAGUCUUGUGCGGGAGAUCGUUUCUGGUUUUUCGUUAUCAUAGUUACUUGUACGAAACUUGGAUAACAUAAUUUUUCUCCAUAUUAUUAAUUUUGUCAGCUAGGAUGGGGAAAUCCAAAUCGAACCGACAUAAUAAGCAAGUUCGUGAUAAUCCCACUGGACUCGCUAAUAAAUCUGACUCUGAAGAAAUUGUGAUGGAUUGUGCUGUCAAGAGUCCUUAUACUGGAACUGCCCUCUCGUCAGAAACCCUAAAGUCUUUUUCAAGACAGUUACAAAGUUCAUCAGCAGAAGAGCGGGACUGUGCUUGCCAUGCAUUAGCAGGAUUGAUAAGAAAUAAUGAGGAUUCAUGUGCAGCAUUACAAGAAGGACUAAUAAAAGUUCUUGGUCCUCUAUUGCUGGAUACAAGUGCCUCUGUUUGUCAUUCUACUGCUUCAGCACUUCAUACGAUAAUUUCAAAAGGAGGAGAUCAAGCGAUCAAGCUUGCCAUUGAACACGACAUUUUAACACCACUGAUUGCUUUAUUAAAGAGAAUCCCACCACAGUGGAAACCUCAUAAAGCACCUGGCAACAAAAUUGAUACUUCUACAGCCACCUUUCUAGAAACAGUUGCAACAUUAAAUCUUCUCUCCGAAAGCAGCACUCUAGCUGUUGACCGGAUACAUCGCGAAAACAUAGUUUCCAUGUUAAUUUCGUAUUUGGACGUAAAUGCGUAUGGCUUAGAUGUUGUUUCGUCGGUUGUCCAGUUCCUCAGCACAGUAACUGAAGAACAGGGUGAUACUGACUACACAGAAGUUUUGAAAAAAGAGAUUAUUUCGAAAUUCCUCAAUGUGAAAGAAUCUAGCCCUUUAUUGAAAACUCUAUCACUUAUGAUACUUCUUAACUUGAACCAUCAGCAGUUGAAUUCAGAAUUGGGACAGUCAACUCAAGAUAUUAUAAAUAUCCUGACUUCUUCUCUUUGCCUUGAUCAAAGGAAGGCAGCGUCUUCAGUGGUCGAUCAUUUACCGACAACUCAAGAUGAAAACGGUGGGGAUGCAAUGGAAGAAGAUUCUUUGGCCUCUAAAUUAUACGAUUCUGUCGAAGCUGCCGAAGAAUUAAUCUCUGCUCAAAUAAAAUCUCUGGAAAUAUUAACCAAUAUUUGUUGUUCUGGAGACGAUGGCGACUCGGAUGAAUUCUACGAAGAUGAAUCCAUUAGCGAUGAAUCACUGGGUAAUGAAGGAUUUCAAGAAAGCCUUAUAGACUUGAAUCCCGAGUUGAAGAAAGCUUUCAUCGAUGCGCGACUAUUUCAACUGGUUAUUGAAAAAGCAAAAUUACCGGCAACGAAUAUAAUUGAAGCUUUAAAUCAGCACCCAACAGGAAAAUCUCUUAUUAAACGUUACGAAGCGCUCCAAUGUAUGGGGUUCUUGUGUUUAAGUAACAUGGUGAUGGUUUUCGAAGUUGACGAUAUUGGUGGCAGCAAGGAUUUAUUCGACAUUUGGUGUGGCUUAGCAGUCGUGGCUUUCCAGGGUAGUAAGUCGGAACAGAUGCUGGGAAGUGCAACUGCUUCUAUGCGUGCCAUAAUUCGAAAAUUGUCGUAUCAUAAAGACAUAGUCAACCUUUUGAAGUUAGAAGACAUCACUCUCCUCUGUCAGAGAGUUGUAGACUGUUCUCAUCCUCAGUCAAAAGUGAAUUUGCUUCAGAUACUCGGCACACUUGGCUCAAUGGCAGCUGGAGUUGAACCACCCAUGUUGGAACCUCGAUCUUCGAUUGUUCGCGGAAUCGGUCAAAUCCUUCUCGACACUGCUUGCCUUUCUCCUGACUUGUGGAUUACAGCUGAAGCUAUGGAUGCCUUAUUUGAUGUUUUCAAGGAGGAUCACACAGACCCAAUUGUUGGAGAUGUUCAACUGGUGGAGCGUUUAAGAACAUUGGCACCCACUUUCAAGCAUCGUGUCCAUUCACAACGUCGUAGCCUACCGGCGGAUCACCUCCCAGUUGUUAUGACUGCUAGAGACAAUCUACUCCGCUUCAUCAAGUAUAAGACAAAGCAACGAUCGUUAGCUAAUCGAUAAUGUAAUAGUUUUAUAGCCUACAACAACCCCUUGAGAGCUUCUAUUGAACUGAGAACAUCAGCAAUGAAAGGUCUUUCUUUGGGAUCAACAACAAGCAAAGUGGAAAUUAAGUCGUUUACCGACGAAUUGACUCCUGGGGAAGUGGAAUUUGGAAAAUGAUUCAUUCCACUGGAGGCAGCCAAAGCAACGCUAUCUCCUCGUUCAAAUACCUCAUCAAAAGGCGAUUUAUAGUAGCAGAGGGCAUAUAGCAGGCACCCCAAAGACUAAAAAAAAGUCACAAUUUAUGGAAAAAACUUAACUUUUAAAAUAAUAACAAUUUAAAAUACCCAGAUAUCAGUACGCUCAUCGAUGGUAGACGGACUUUGGAUGUUAAAAAGUUCUGGUGCGCGAUAAGUCAUGGAACAACGUUCUGCUGCAUCAUCUUGGAGUCUCUGAGCGGCGUUGUAGCUGGUUAUCUCCACGGUAGCAGGAGCAGCAGAACCUAACAAGGUCAUAGAUGGAAGACGGGCUCACGGAAAGACGGAGAAGCCGGACAAGCCAAGCAAACCAAAAAAAAAAAAGAAAAGAAAAAAGCAUUGAGGCAUACAGAAUUCAGAUCCUGGUUGAGGUUUAUCCCACAACUAACUUUAUCAAAGAAUUUGGUACAUUAAAUGUCUGAUCGUCGACUAAAACGAUGUCAAAAUGUUCCGUGUAGUUCGCCAAGGACUGUUCAAUCUGGGAUGUAUUAAAGCAACAGAUUAUAUAUGAUUUAUUCCUAAAAAUGUAAAUUACAGUAUUAUCAACCUUUUCAUUAAGAAAUCCAAUUGUCAAUAGGGUAUUGGCGGCAGCACCACAAGACAUGUGAAGAUCUCCUAAUGAAUCCCCCAAAAGAAUCAUAUUUUUGCAAUGUGAUAAAUUCUCAAAGUAACCGUCCGAAAGACGCGAUGAGAUAACAUCUUUGUUGUAUGGAUGAACAAACUGGCGACUUGAAACCGCAUCAGUAAUUUCAUCGUCAAUUUGAUAAUAUUUAACAUGAUUUGCUAUAACUUUGAGAUUGUUUUUCAGAAGACUAUGCUUGCUUAACACUUCGAGAAUUAUAUUUCCAAGCCCAGCAGAUAUAAUCAGUACAGGUAUGUUGGCUAUAUUCAGAUCUUCAAAAAAACUUUCAACACCUUCCCUAUAAUUGAAAAAAUAAAAAUGUAAACAAAAAUCAGA
Molecule: RNA transcript, 3297 nt
Organism: Daphnia pulex (common water flea)
Lineage: Eukaryota; Metazoa; Arthropoda; Branchiopoda; Diplostraca; Daphniidae
Gene name: HEAT repeat-containing protein 3-like
Exons: 10
Source: RefSeq, a predicted model, not a curated record